CCCUUCCCAGGAAAAGGGCGUUUGUUGCCUACCGAUGAAGGAUGGCUGGAACAGGGUCUCUGGGCAGCGGAAACGUUCAUUUCCGAUGGUGAUCACUUGCCCAUCAGGCAACUCGUAACUCUUCUCAAGGGAGGAUGAGGAUGCGGCAGUGGCCAUCUCAUUUUCAAAGUCCAGAGCUACAUAACACAGUUUCUCCUUGAUGUCCCGGACAAUCUCACGCUCAGCUGUCAACCAGAUACAAACAUUGUGGCAAACAUUAGGGUCUGCACAGGUGGCAAAGAUUCACCUGCCCUACUGCAGUCUCUCCCUCAAGACAUGUGCCAUCAAAAAAUGUUUAACCAGGAUAUCUUAUGCUGAAUCAGCUCCUCAGGGGCCUCACAAUUUUCAAAAAGUCUGAGAUCCUGUUGCCUGGGCCAGUGGAUAGCAGGUUAAACCUUUGGCACAUUUCUCACCCUCCAGGAAAGAGGUGGUGCUGUCUCAGGACCAGGCCUAGUCCAGAAGGUUUCAGCGGUGCAUACUGAACGAGAUACGGAAGAAGUGGGCAGGGAGAGACCUUUCAGACUUCUGCUCUCUGAAGUUCUAGGCUAUUAAUUAUAUCUGAGGCUCUAGGAACCUUUUAGAGGCAUCUUGGGAUUCUUUGUAGGGAGCAGAGGAGGAAUGCAAUUAUUCAACUUCAUAUUGCAAGUGGAGACUUUAACAUUGGCAGGGUUCAAGUCUCAAGCCUCAAAUUUGGAGCAUAAAAUAAGCCUCAGGCAUGUUCAGAAACCUAAAUGUUUGGACAAUACCAAAUUGCUAAGGGGAGGACAGGUAGCUGGAGCCACCAGCACUGAGGACAUACAAUGUUUCUGGCAAUGCUGAC
Molecule: long non-coding RNA, 859 nt
Organism: Homo sapiens (human)
Lineage: Eukaryota; Metazoa; Chordata; Mammalia; Primates; Hominidae
Gene: ACTA2-AS1
Product: ACTA2 antisense RNA 1
Source: Ensembl